Molecule: small nucleolar RNA, 89 nt
Filed under: Drosophila persimilis
Lineage: Eukaryota; Metazoa; Arthropoda; Insecta; Diptera; Drosophilidae
Description: snoRNA:GL27879
Source: RNAcentral
UGAUGAUAAAAAACUAAAAAUAUUAUACGACAUCGAAAACAAACAAAACCUUGAUAUACCAUGAUAUCUAUAAUGAUAGGACUGAGAAC